ACGCGUAUAGAACUUACCUUUUACAGAGGGAUAGCCUUUAGAAAUGAAGAUUAAUACCUCAUAGUAUUGUUGACUGGCAUCAGUUAAUAAUUAAAGAUUUAUCGGUAAAAGAUGGCUAUGCGUCCUAUUAGCUAGAUGGUAAGGUAACGGCUUACCAUGGCAACGAUAGGUAGGGGUCCUGAGAGGGAGAUCCCCCACACUGGUACUGAGACACGGACCAGACUCCUACGGGAGGCAGCAGUGAGGAAUAUUGGGCAAUGGAGGCAACUCUGACCCAGCCAUGCCGCGUGCAGGAAGACGGCCCUAUGGGUUGUAAACUGCUUUUAUACAGGAAGAAACACUGCUACGUGUAGCAGCUUGACGGUACUGUAAGAAUAAGGACCGGCUAACUCCGUGCCAGCAGCCGCGGUAAUACGGAGGGUCCAAGCGUUAUCCGGAAUCAUUGGGUUUAAAGGGUCCGCAGGCGGUCAAUUAAGUCAGAGGUGAAAUCCCAUAGCUCAACUAUGGAACUGCCUUUGAUACUGGUUGACUUGAGUCAUAUGGAAGUAGAUAGAAUGUGUAGUGUAGCGGUGAAAUGCAUAGAUAUUACACAGAAUACCGAUUGCGAAGGCAGUCUACUACGUAUGUACUGACGCUCAUGGACGAAAGCGUGGGGAGCGAACAGGAUUAGAUACCCUGGUAGUCCACGCCGUAAACGAUGGACACUAGUUGUUGGGCAUUAGCUCAGUGACUAAGCGAAAGUGAUAAGUGUCCCACCUGGGGAGUACGAUCGCAAGAUUGAAACUCAAAGGAAUUGACGGGGGCCCGCACAAGCGGUGGAGCAUGUGGUUUAAUUCGAUGAUACGCGAGGAACCUUACCAGGGCUUAAAUGUAGUAUGACAGGUUUAGAGAUAGACUUUUCUUCGGACAUAUUACAAGGUGCUGCAUGGUUGUCGUCAGCUCGUGCCGUGAGGUGUCAGGUUAAGUCCUAUAACGAGCGCAACCCCUGUCGUUAGUUGCCAGCAAGUAAAGUUGGGGACUCUAACGAGACUGCCUACGCAAGUAGAGAGGAAGGUGGGGAUGACGUCAAAUCAUCACGGCCCUUACGUCCUGGGCCACACACGUGCUACAAUGGUAUGGACAAUGAGCAGCCAUCUGGCAACAGAGAGCGAAUCUAUAAACCAUAUCACAGUUCGGAUCGGAGUCUGCAACUCGACU
Molecule: ribosomal RNA, 1197 nt
Filed under: Polaribacter sp. SW146
Lineage: Bacteria; Pseudomonadati; Bacteroidota; Flavobacteriia; Flavobacteriales; Flavobacteriaceae
Description: bacterial SSU rRNA
Rfam family: Bacterial small subunit ribosomal RNA
Source: RNAcentral